UGGGAGGGGCAAGCAGGGAGGGCGCGUGCGCGUGCGCUUGUGUAGGCGCAGGGAUCUCGCACCUGCAGCCGAAUUACAGCAGGGGGAGGGUCGGGCUGGGCUGAGGCGACGAAGUUCUCUCUUAGGGUGGCGGCAGCAGCAGCAGGAGGGGGAACAGGGUGGCUGCAGCAGGAGUGAGUGGAGUGCCUGCAGUGGAAAUGAAGGAUCUCCCUGUGUUCUGAGGAUCCAGUCACCUUGGGGAUAGAUUUCUGGCCUGGGGUUCCAAGAGCACAGGCUUCAGACUGGAACCAAGACCCCACUACACUCACAGCAUCAGAGCCACACAGAUGCUGCUGCUGCUGCUUCUGAACUUCCUCUUCAGGCCACAACCCAAAGCCUGCAACCCCUCCUCACUCAGCCCUGGAUCUGCGACCCAGAAAUGGAGCGUGAGCAACAGACCUGGCACUUGACAGCUAUUUCUGAA
Dromiciops gliroides (monito del monte) is the source of this 463-nucleotide long non-coding RNA. RefSeq lists it as uncharacterized. The transcript has 3 exons. NCBI's taxonomy places the organism in Eukaryota, Metazoa, Chordata, Mammalia, Microbiotheria, Microbiotheriidae. The record is from RefSeq and is a predicted model, not a curated record.